CGAACGAUGAAGCCGGGGCUUGCUCCUGGUGGAUUUAGUGGCGAACGGGUGAGUAACACGUGAGCAACCUGCCCUGGACUCUGGGAUAAGCGCUGGAAACGGCGUCUAAUACUGGAUACGAGACGUGGCCGCAUGGUCAACGUUUGGAAAGAUUUUUCGGUCUGGGAUGGGCUCGCGGCCUAUCAGCUUGUUGGUGAGGUAAUGGCUCACCAAGGCGUCGACGGGUAGCCGGCCUGAGAGGGUGACCGGCCACACUGGGACUGAGACACGGCCCAGACUCCUACGGGAGGCAGCAGUGGGGAAUAUUGCACAAUGGGCGGAAGCCUGAUGCAGCAACGCCGCGUGAGGGAUGACGGCCUUCGGGUUGUAAACCUCUUUUAGCAGGGAAGAAGCGAAAGUGACGGUACCUGCAGAAAAAGCGCCGGCUAACUACGUGCCAGCAGCCGCGGUAAUACGUAGGGCGCAAGCGUUAUCCGGAAUUAUUGGGCGUAAAGAGCUCGUAGGCGGUUUGUCGCGUCUGCUGUGAAAUCCCGAGGCUCAACCUCGGGCCUGCAGUGGGUACGGGCAGACUAGAGUGCGGUAGGGGAGAUUGGAAUUCCUGGUGUAGCGGUGGAAUGCGCAGAUAUCAGGAGGAACACCGAUGGCGAAGGCAGAUCUCUGGGCCGUAACUGACGCUGAGGAGCGAAAGGGUGGGGAGCAAACAGGCUUAGAUACCCUGGUAGUCCACCCCGUAAACGUUGGGAACUAGUUGUGGGGUCCUUUCCACGGAUUCCGUGACGCAGCUAACGCAUUAAGUUCCCCGCCUGGGGAGUACGGCCG
This 819-nucleotide ribosomal RNA is filed under the name Microbacterium sp. Its description in RNAcentral is "bacterial SSU rRNA". It matches the Rfam family "Bacterial small subunit ribosomal RNA", at positions 63 to 888 of the family's 1533-position model. Lineage: Bacteria; Bacillati; Actinomycetota; Actinomycetes; Micrococcales; Microbacteriaceae. The record is from RNAcentral.